ACCCGCUGAACUUAAGCAUAUCAAUAAGCGGAGGAAAAGAAACUAACAAGGAUUCCCCUAGUAACUGCGAGUGAAGCGGGAAAAGCUCAAAUUUAAAAUCUGGUGGUCUUUGGCCGUCCGAGUUGUAAUCUAGAGAAGUGUUACCCGCGCUGGACCGUGUACAAGUCUCCUGGAAUGGAGCGUCGUAGAGGGUGAGAAUCCCGUCUUUGACACGGACUGCCAGGGCUUUGUGGUGCGCUCUCAAAGAGUCGAGUUGUUUGGGAAUGCAGCUCAAAAUGGGUGGUAAAUGCCAUCUAAAGCUAAAUAUUGGCGAGAGACCGAUAGCGAACAAGUACCGUGAGGGAAAGAUGAAAAGAACUUUGGAAAGAGAGUUAAACAGUACGUGAAAUUGCUGAAAGGGAAACGCUUGAAGUCAGUCACGCUGCGAAGAAUCAACCUUGCUUUUGCUUGGUGUACUUUUUCGUUUGCGGGUCAGCAUCAGUUUUGAUCAUUGGAUAAAGGUUAUGGGAAUGUGGCAUCUUCGGAUGUGUUAUAGCCUGUGAUUGCAUACAAUGGUUGGGACUGAGGAACUCAGCGCGCCGCAAGGCCGGGAUUCGUCCACGUUCGCGCUUAGGAUGCUGGCAUAAUGGCUUUAAUCGACCCGUCUUGAAACACGG
This 656-nucleotide ribosomal RNA is filed under the name uncultured fungus. Its description in RNAcentral is "eukaryotic LSU rRNA". It matches the Rfam family "Eukaryotic large subunit ribosomal RNA", at positions 23 to 664 of the family's 3401-position model. The record is from RNAcentral. Lineage: Eukaryota; Fungi.